RNAcentral lists this long non-coding RNA (414 nucleotides) under Homo sapiens (human). RNAcentral describes it as "HSALNT0335142". The record is from RNAcentral. Lineage: Eukaryota; Metazoa; Chordata; Mammalia; Primates; Hominidae.
CUGGAAUUCAAUCUGCCAGGUGGGAAGCAUGUACUAACGAGACUCUCAGUCUUCCUUUGUGGAGAGUCCCUGUUUCCUUUUCUUUUCCCUUUUCACCCAAUAAAUUCCUUUUUUCUCCCCUUUUAAAUUAUAUGUGAGCCUUUUUUCAUGAUCAUGUGACGAGGACCCUGUCUUUAGCUGAGCUACGGAGAGAGUCCUGCAACACCUUCACGUAGACAUUCUUGAGAAUGGAGCUAUUCUGGAGAGAGAAUGGCAGUGGAUUAAAAGUUCUGAACCUGCCUGGGUCUCAAUCACAGAAACCUGAAACAGCCAUUGGACCCCCAUUGCUAAUCCCUGUGCAGUCUGUAGUCACACCUGGAGUGUCAGCUUUUAUAGGUGGAGGGAAGGAAUGCUAUCCAUGAUGAUGCAAAGCUG